Non-coding RNA from Peromyscus maniculatus bairdii (prairie deer mouse), 3913 nucleotides. The record is from RefSeq and is a predicted model, not a curated record. Lineage: Eukaryota; Metazoa; Chordata; Mammalia; Rodentia; Cricetidae.
CGCCCCGGCGCCGCCCCCUGCUCGCGCCCGGCCAGGGACCGGCGCUCUGUUCCGUUCUCGGGCUCUGCCGCAAAAGCCGGCCGCGGCGAUGCUCUCUGGAGGGUGGACCCGCCUCAGCCCCUCACGGGGCCCGAGGAACUUCCCAGCACAGAACCCCCGUGCUUCUGAGCUCUGGGGUGAUGCACGUCAAGAACCCAACCAUUUCCUUGGGAGAAGCACCGCUUGGCGUGUUGCCUGCGCCCUUCAGCAGAGGGCUGGCUACUCCGCCCCCACCUAAGGCACUUGGCUGAUUUGAUUGUGAGACCUUUAAACGGCAUCGUCCAAAGUUUCUGUAAGGACACCAUAAUCAAGCAGGACUGUGGCUUCCACUUUGUAACAGAGCCUGUGUUUGUGCAGUAAAGUUCUUGGUGCAUACUGAGUGUGGUGGCUUGGCUGCAGUCCUAGCUACUGGAGAGAUGGGACCCAGGCAUGAGGAUUGCCAGAGCUCAUUAUGAUGCUAACCUGAGCAACAUAAUGAAAGAAAGAAAAAAGAAGAGGGAGAAAGGAAGCAAAGGAGCCAGAGGGAAAAAGGGAGGAAAGCAAGGGGGAAAGAGAAGAAAAGGAAAAGAGACGUUCUUGGCAGACACACUUCUGACUCAUAUUCAACUUUCAGUCAACUUGAACAGCCAAGUCCUUUUGGUAAGGGUUCCACUACGGCUUUCACCUACCCCUCCUGGGUUUUUCACACUGGACUAGGUCAGCUGAGGAUAAACCCUGGACCUUUCACCUACUAGACUGUUCAAAGUGGAAAAUGAUAUAAAGCAGUUUGUAGUUAGUUUAACACCACCUUUAAAACAAGUAUAUCUUUUCAUAAAGCUUGGUUUUAUAGGCGUGGGGUGGUGGCACACACAUAAGGCAGAGGCUGGUGGAUCUCUGAAGACAAGGCCAGCCUGCUAUACAGAGCAAAUUCCGGACCAACCAGAACUACAAAAUAAGCCCCUGUCUCAAAAUAAAUAAGUAAAAAAUGUCCAGUUUUGUGGCAAAAGACUAGUACUUAGCUAUCUACACGUGUAAUGUGAUCAGGAGACACGACGAAGCAGAGUACACACAAGACUACAAAGAAGUCUGUAACAACCAGAAUCUGCUGACAAUCUGGAAGAUGAACUUGGAAUACGCCCAUCAGGCUGAGACACAGCUCAGUUGGUAAAGUGUUACCUAGUACUCACAAAUCUCCAGCACCACACAAAACUGGGCAGCACCAGCUUGCUGCCAACCCUGCCAACCUGGUGGAAGGAGAGAACCAACUACACAAAGUAGUCAUCAGAACUCCACGUUCAUAUAAACAAAUAAAUAUUAAAUGUUCAGGGGUAUGCUUGGUGGUGCACACCUGUAAUCUCAGCACUCAAGAGGUAGAACAGGAAGAUCAGAAGUUCAAAGCCAUUCUCAACUACAAAUCUAGCAUGUGCAAAGCCCUAGGUUCAAUCCUCCACAUUAUAAUACAACAACAAAAGUAUCAAAAAAAUAAAAAAACAAAACAAAACAAAAAAACAGUCCCAGAAGGAGGCAAAUCCACGCACCGUUGAUGACCUGGAGUCCUCCCUUCAGUACACCGGAGAAGAACUCAAAGGAUAAGAGACAGGAGUGGCAGGAAUCAGACUCACAAUUUAAAUGUUAUUCACCAGCCAAUGACCUCAUGAAGUUACAAAAGUAACUCAUUUGAAUCAGGUAAAAAUCUGUUGGAAGCUUCGACUGGAUAUUUACAACUGUUAGCAAAAUUAUUUUAUUUCUUGAACAUUCACAAGCAGAAGACUCUAGAGAUUCAAAUUUAACUUCUACCCACAGCCUGUCUCAGAGUUGCUACACACUAUUUAGGAGAUGAGCUAUUUGAGUAAAGCCUGAAGCAGGGUCAAUAUUAGGUCUCAAAUAUUAGGCCUAUGCCAGAUUAAUGACCCCAACGUGCUUCAGAAUUUCAGAGAGACAGAUUAUUUUAUUUGCUUGCUUAUUUUGUAGGACUGUGAGUUGAAUUAAGGGUCUGGUGCAUGCUAGGCAAGCAUUCUACUCCUGACCAAUAUCCUCACACACCCUAGAAUGCCGCCCUGUUGAGACAGGGUUUCCAUGAGUUACCCAAGCUGGUAUUGAGUCUGCUCCCUUCCUGUCUUAGCUUUCCAAGUGGCUGCGAAUAAAGAGCUGAGCCACAAGACCCAGGAGGAGUCCUGAAGACACAGGAGGAUUAGGAUCAAACAGAUAGUCUGUCAGGAGCAUGCCGGCUCAUACUUCUAAUCCUGAGGCAAGAGAACUGCUGUGAGUUCAAGGCCAGCUCGGGCUACACACAGGAAAGACUCUGUCUCAAAAACCAAGAAUGGCAGGGAGCGAUCCCAUCAUUCCAUGCUAUAACAACAACAACAAAAAGUGGAAGUGCUAAUAAGUGUGGAUAAACCUGAAUCCUUACACUUAGGAGCUGGGGAUGGGAAUGUGAAAAGAUAACAAAUUGCAGUGCAAAACACAUCAGCAGGGUUGUUGUUUAAGUUAAACAUAGAAUUACCUAUGAUCUAAUAAUCCCAUUUCCAGAUAGUCAAGUGUCCAUUAACAUAGGAAUGGAUUGAAAAAUGGUAUAGACAUACAACUUUUCAAACUUGGAUACCUGCUACAAACUGGAUGAUAAAUUGAGUGUGGUGGCACACACCUAUAAACCUGGUACCUGGGAGAUGGGAGCAGAGGGUCAAGCAUCCUUAGCUAGACAGUAUACUCGAGGCAUAUAUGAGAUGCUGUCUGAAGAAAAUAAAAAUUUAAAAAAAAAUUGAGCUGGGUAUGCUGGCACAAGCUUAUAAUUACAACAUUUGGGAAGCUGAGGAGAUUGUAGGUUCAAGGCCAGCGUGUGAUAUACAGUUAUAUCAUCUCAGAAAAACAAAACAAAAAAAAAAAAAGAUUAAGUUUUGAUAGGCCUUAUAUGGACCUAAAAACAUCACAAAAAGGGAAAAAGACACAGACACAAAAGGUCAAAUGUUACACUGAGGCAGGAUAAAAUGACAAGAAAAGUUAGGGGACAUGAGGAAGGAGAGAAGUCUUUACUCCAGAACUUUCCAAGACCUUCCACCCACACCUUGCUGCAGAAUGUCUUGAUAUCAUCAGACAGGUUGUGAAUCAGAACCUUCAGUACAAACAAUAAAAUCCAAGCUGCCCACAGGGAUGAUGGCUGUUUCAUAAGGACACCUCAAACAGCAACAUCUGACCAACAAAUGAAUGAGGAACACUCGGGGCACGAAUGCUGAGACCCUGAGUUUAGCUGGGUCGGGGCUCCUGUCUCACUGAUAAAUCAACGCAAUACACCUUAUAAAACUACAAUUUCAUUUACAGGGAAAAUUUUUGUUGUUUUGUUCUGAGACAGGACCUUAUGCUGGAGAAAUGGCUAAGUGAUUAAGAGUGCAUGCCAUACUUCCAGAGGACCCAGGUUUGAUUCCCAGAAGCCACAUGGCUGCUCACCAUUGUAUCGCCAGUUCCAGGGGACCUGACAACAUCUUCUGGGCUCCAAGAUCACCAGGCACAUAUAUGGUACACAGGUAUACAGGCAAGUGAACACUCAUAAAUAUAGAAUAAAAACACAUCUUUUUAAAACAAAUUUCACGAAUCCCGGCUGGCCCUGAACUAUUUACCUAUGCAGUCAAGGAUGAUCAUCCUGCCUCCAUCGCCAGUGCUGGGAUUAUAGGCAUGUGACACCACGACUAGUUUAUGUAGGUAAUGAAGAUGGAGACCAGGCAUUGCGGAUGCAAGGCAAGCACUCUACCAACUGAUUAACAUCUCCAGUCCCUGAGAAAAUUCUUCAACGUUAAAAGAAAAAAGCUGGGCGGUGGUGGCACAUGCCUUUAAUUCCAGUACUCAAGAGGCAGAGCCAGGCAGAUCUGUGAGUUCAGGCCAGCCUGGUCUACAGAGUGAGAUC